This 74-nucleotide transfer RNA is filed under the name Jatropha curcas. It matches the Rfam family "tRNA". From Rfam's summary of the family: Transfer RNA (tRNA) molecules are approximately 80 nucleotides in length. Their secondary structure includes four short double-helical elements and three loops (D, anti-codon, and T loops). Further hydrogen bonds mediate the characteristic L-shaped molecular structure. tRNAs have two regions of fundamental functional importance: the anti-codon, which is responsible for specific mRNA codon recognition, and the 3' end, to which the tRNAs corresponding amino acid is attached (by aminoacyl-tRNA synthetases). tRNAs cope with the degeneracy of the genetic code in two manners: having more than one tRNA (with a specific anti-codon) for a particular amino acid; and 'wobble' base-pairing, i.e. permitting non-standard base-pairing at the 3rd anti-codon position. Lineage: Eukaryota; Viridiplantae; Streptophyta; Magnoliopsida; Malpighiales; Euphorbiaceae. The record is from Rfam by way of RNAcentral.
GGUCGCGUAGCUCAGUUGGUUAGAGCGUUGGUCUUAUGAGCCGAAGGUUGCAGGUUCGGUCCCUGAUAGGACCA